RNAcentral lists this ribosomal RNA (253 nucleotides) under uncultured prokaryote. Its description in RNAcentral is "partial 16S ribosomal RNA". It matches the Rfam family "Bacterial small subunit ribosomal RNA", at positions 524 to 776 of the family's 1533-position model. The record is from RNAcentral.
UACGUAGGAUGCUAGCGUUGUCCGGAUUUACUGGGCGUAAAGCGCGCGCAGGCGGCUCUUUAAGUAUGGCGUGAAAUCUCCCUGCUCAACGGGGAGGGUGCGUUGUAGACUGGAGGGCUUGAGGUCGGUAGAGGGGGGUGGAAUUGCUGGUGUAGCGGUGAAAUGCGUAGAGAUCAGCAGGAACACCCGUGGCGAAGGCGGCCCCCUGGGCCGAUCCUGACGCUGAGGCGCGAAGGCUAGGGGAGCGACCCGG